GACGAACGCUGGCGGCGUGCUUAACACAUGCAAGUCGAACGGAAAGGCCCUGCUUUUGUGGGGUGCUCGAGUGGCGAACGGGUGAGUAACACGUGAGUAACCUGCCCUUGACUUUGGGAUAACUUCAGGAAACUGGGGCUAAUACCGGAUUGGAGCUCCUGUGGCAUGGUGGGGUUUGGAAAGUUUCGGCGGUUGGGGAUGGAUCCGCGGCUUAUCAGCUUGUUGGUGGGGUAGUGGCUUACCAAGGCUUUGCCGGGUAGCCGGCCUGAGAGGGUGACCGGCCACAUUGGGACUGAGAUACGGCCCAGACUCCUACGGGAGGCAGCAGUGGGGAAUAUUGCACAAUGGGCGGAAGCCUGAUGCAGCAACGCCGCGUGCGGGAUGACGGCCUUCGGGUUGUAAACCGCUUUCGCCUGUGACGAAGCGUGAGUGACGGUAAUGGGUAAAGAAGCACCGGCUAACUACGUG
Molecule: ribosomal RNA, 468 nt
Filed under: uncultured bacterium
Lineage: Bacteria
Description: partial 16S ribosomal RNA
Rfam family: Bacterial small subunit ribosomal RNA
Source: RNAcentral